Molecule: long non-coding RNA, 618 nt
Filed under: Rattus norvegicus (Norway rat)
Lineage: Eukaryota; Metazoa; Chordata; Mammalia; Rodentia; Muridae
Description: long non-coding RNA NONRATT008575
Source: RNAcentral
AGCUGUGCCUUGUCUGGUAGCUCCACAUCGCGUUGGGUUAACAAAGCCCCACUUUCUCCACGGUGCUGCAGAUGGAGCCCCCGUCAGUCACAUGGCCACUAAUUAAUGGGGUGGGGGUAUUGUGAGAAGUCCAACAGUUAGGUGGUUAGACUUGCUACCAACAGCUCUCUAGCAGUGCACCCUCUCCCUAUUGCCUGUGAACACAGACUUAAUCAGAGCUGUGAAUUUCCCUGUCUGCUGGGCCCAGUCCUCCUGGGGUAGCUCAGUCUGAACUGCUACAAACAAUGGAGCUUUCUAUUGGAAUUGGAGUGGAAAAAGAACAGCUGAUGUUUUUCUCCCCAACACUAAGACCUGUAACCACUGGUUUCCACAGACCCGAAAAAAUGCUAAAUAUUGUUAGUUUACUCUUUUAAAAACUUUAUUACAGCUGGGCUGGAGAGAUGGCUCAGGUUAAGAGCACUGGCUGCUCUAGAGGACCUGGGUUUAGUUCCCACAAGGUGUAUAGCCCCUGCUUUUGGGGAUCUGGCCUCUGCAGACAUCACGUGUGUGGUUCACAUGUAUCUGUGCAGGCAAAACACUCAUGCAGAAAAUAAAUCUUUGCAGAACUUUGCUACAAAA